This 2916-nucleotide ribosomal RNA is filed under the name Sporofaciens musculi. RNAcentral's name for it is "23S ribosomal RNA". It matches the Rfam family "Bacterial large subunit ribosomal RNA". Lineage: Bacteria; Bacillati; Bacillota; Clostridia; Lachnospirales; Lachnospiraceae. The record is from RNAcentral.
UUGGUCAUGCUAGAAAGAGCGUAUGGUGGAUGCCUUGGCACUAAGAGCCGAUGAAAGACGUGAUAAGCUGCGAAAAGCUUCGGGGAGGAGCAAAUAUCCUACGAUCCGGAGAUCUCUGAAUGGGGAAACCCACUUGAGCAAACCUCAAGUAUCCUUAACCCAAUUCAUAAGUUAAGGAAGGGAACCCGGUGAACUGAAACAUCUAAGUAGCCGGAGGAAAAGAAAGAAACUUCGAUUUCCAAAGUAGCGGCGAGCGAAAUGGAAUGAGCCUAAACCAGUGUGCGUGCACGCUGGGGUUCGGACCGCGUAAUUGAUUCAUGAGUCUUAGCAGAACGGUUUUGGGAAAGCCGGCCAAAGAGGGUGAAAGCCCCGUAAGCGAAAAGACAAAUGACAUGGCGGGAUCCAGAGUACCACGAGACACGUGGAACCUUGUGGGAAUAUGCGGGGACCACCCCGUAAGGCUAAAUACUCCUUAGUGACCGAUAGCGCAUAGUACUGUGAAGGAACGGUGAAAAGAACCCCGUGAGGGGAGUGAAAAAGAACCUGAAACCAUAUGUUUACAAGCUGUGGAACAUCCAUAUGAGAUGAACCGCGUACUUUUUGUAGAACGGUCCGGCGAGUUACGCCGGCUGGCGAGGUUAAGUCCUUAAGGGAUGGAGCCGAAGGGAAACCAAGUCUUAAUAGGGCAAGCGAUACCCAUAGGGUACCGCAAGAGUCAGUCGGAGUAGACCCGAAACCGGGUGAUCUAUCCAUGUCCAGGAUGAAGCUGCCGUAAAAGGCAAUGGAGGUCCGAACCCACAUCCGUUGAAAAGGGUGGGGAUGAGGUGUGGAUAGGGGAGAAAUUCCAAUCGAACCCGGAGAUAGCUGGUUCUCCUCGAAAUAGCUUUAGGGCUAGCCUCAUACAAGUCUUGCGGAGGUAGAGCACUGAAUUUCCUAGGGGGCGUCAAAGCUUACCGAAGAAUAUCAAACUCCGAAUGCCGCGUAGAUGAUGUAUGGGAGUCAGACUGCACGAGAUAAGUUGGGUAGUCGAAAGGGAAAGAGCCCAGACCUACAGCUAAGGCCCCAAAAUGUAUGUUAAGUGGAAAAGGAUGUGGGAUUUCAAAGACAACUAGGAUGUUGGCUUAGAAGCAGCCAUACAUUCAAAGAGUGCGUAAUAGCUCACUAGUCGAGAGGUCCUGCGCCGAAAAUGUCCGGGGCUGAAACAUACUGCCGAAGCUUAGGAAUCAGAAAUGAUUGGUAGAGGAGCAUUGGAUACUGGAGGAAGCAGUACUGAAAAGAGCUGUGGACGGUAUCGAAGAGAGAAUGCCGGAAUGAGUAGCGAGAGGAAGGUGAGAAUCCUUCCGGCCGAAUAUCCAAGGUUUCCAGGGUAAAGCUGAUCUGCCCUGGGGAAGUCGGGACCUAAGGCGAGGCCGAGAGGCGUAGCCGAUGGACAACAGGUUGAGAUUCCUGUACCACAAUUUAACAGAACUGUGGGGACACGUGUGGAAAGCAUAAGCCGGGAAUGAAGAAACCGGCGCAAGCGAGGUAGGAGGUACAUUGGCAAAUCCGUGUAUCAAUCUGAAGACGUGAUGCGGACCGAAUUAAGAGUAGGGAAGUAUGUGAGCCAUGCGUCAAGAAAAGCCGCUAUAGUUUGAAUUGUGCCCGUACCGUAAACCGACACAGGUGGAUGAGGAGAGAAUCCUAAGGCCGACGGGAGAAGCAUUGUCAAGGAACUCGGCAAAAUGACUCCGUAACUUCGGGAGAAGGAGUGCCAGGUAAGACUGGCCGCAGAGAAUUGGCCCAAGCAACUGUUUAGCAAAAACACAGGUCUGUGCAAAACCGAAAGGUGAAGUAUACGGGCUGACGCCUGCCCGGUGCUGGAAGGUUAAGAGGAGAGGUUAGCGAAAGCGAAGCCUUGAAUUGAAGCCCCAGUAAACGGCGGCCGUAACUAUAACGGUCCUAAGGUAGCGAAAUUCCUUGUCGGGUAAGUUCCGACCCGCACGAAAGGCGUAAUGAUUUGGGCACUGUCUCGACAAUGCACCCGGUGAAAUUGAAGUACCAGUGAAGAUGCUGGUUACCCGCGCCAGGACGGAAAGACCCCAUGGAGCUUUACUCCAGCUUGAUACUGGGAUUCGGUAUUGCAUGUACAGGAUAGGCGGGAGGCUGGGAAGUGGUGACGCCAGUUGCCAUGGAGCCGCUGUUGGGAUACCACCCUUGCAGUAUUGGAUUUCUAACCAGAGGCCGUAAGCCGGUCUGGGGACAAUGUCAGGUGGGGAGUUUGACUGGGGCGGUCGCCUCCGAAAGGGUAUCGGAGGCGCUCAAAGGUUCCCUCAGAAUGGUUGGAAACCAUUCGCAGAGCGCAAAGGCAGAAGGGAGCUUGACUGUGACACCGACGGGUGGAGCAGGUACGAAAGUAGGACUUAGUGAUCCGGUGGUAUAAAGUGGGAUUGCCAUCGCUCAACGGAUAAAAGCUACCCUGGGGAUAACAGGCUUAUCACUCCCAAGAGUUCACAUCGACGGAGUGGUUUGGCACCUCGAUGUCGGCUCAUCGCAUCCUGGGGCUGAAGUAGGUCCCAAGGGUUGGGCUGUUCGCCCAUUAAAGCGGUACGCGAGCUGGGUUCAGAACGUCGUGAGACAGUUCGGUCCCUAUCCGGCGCGGGCGUAGGAUAUUUGAGAGGAGCUGUCCUUAGUACGAGAGGACCGGGAUGGACUGGCCGCUGGUGGAUCUGUUGGCUAAUCAAGGCCAUGGCAGAGUAGCCAAGCCGGGAGGGGGAUAAACGCUGAAGGCAUCUAAGCGUGAAGCCCCCCCUCAAGAUGAGAUAUCCCUACUGUCAAGGUAGUAAGACCCCUUGAAGACGACAAGGUAGAUAGGGCGGAGGUGGAAGUGCAGUAAUGUAUGGAGCUGACCGCAACUAAUCGGUCGAGGGCAUGACCAAA